GCCUCUAUAGCACAGUGGCAGUGCGCAGCACUCGUAAUGCUGAGGUCGGGUGUUCGAUCCACCCUGGAGGCA
Transfer RNA from Rhodotorula graminis WP1, 72 nucleotides. It matches the Rfam family "tRNA". Rfam says of the family: Transfer RNA (tRNA) molecules are approximately 80 nucleotides in length. Their secondary structure includes four short double-helical elements and three loops (D, anti-codon, and T loops). Lineage: Eukaryota; Fungi; Basidiomycota; Microbotryomycetes; Sporidiobolales; Sporidiobolaceae. The record is from Rfam.